GUCUGAACAUCACCUUGUGUUGUACAAGAAAAUCGGACAGGGUCGAUCGGUACACAGCCUCUCUCUCUUAUCCAUCUCUACUUACGCUUGUUCAAAUCUGUUUGAUCAGCCGCGAAUCUGUACUAUACAUGCACACUGAUCCACCGCAAAUUGCAGUUUCUAAUGCCUCAAGAAAAUGAAGCAAAGUGUUCGAUCGCGGUCGUGGUCAUGGCAGCUCAGGCUCACAAGGUGACCUUCUCCAUCUCGCGGCGGAGGGCGGUGGCGCGGACGAGGCUGCCGAUGGUGUUGACGGCGAGCUUGAUGUCGUCGAGCGGGUUGCCCGGCACGACGCGCUUGUAGAGGUAGCUGUCGAAGGUCAUCCUCUGGACGUAGUCGUCGGCGCACAUCUCGACGAACGCCUCGCGGGCGGCGUUGGAGCGGUAGAACACCUUCUGGAGCACGUCGAGCACCUUGUACGUCGGCCAGUAGAGGCGGUCGAACUCGGCCAGGUACCUGCGCAGGUCGCUCUCCUCCACCAUCCGCGUCCCGUUCGCCGACCCGGCCACGAUCGCCUCCGCGCACAUCCGCCCGCUCUUCGCCGCGAAGUAGAUCCCCUCGCCGGAGCACUUUGUCACGUACCCCGCCGCGUCCCCCACCAGCGUCACCCUCCCCGCCACCCUCUUAGGCCUCGGGUGCUCGGGGAUGGGGUGAGCCUCGACGCGGAUGAUCUUGCCGCCCUCGAUCCGGUCCUUGGCGCGAAGGCGGGUGGCGGCCUGGAACUUCUUGAUGUCGGGCUUGUGGGUGACGGUGCCGGUGCCGACGGCGACGUGGUCGCACUUGGGGAACACCCAGCCGUAGAAGUCCGGCGAGACGUCGUCGCCGACGUACAUCUCGGCGCGCUCCUCGUAGUACUUCAUCUUGUCGUCGGGG
RNAcentral lists this unclassified non-coding RNA (909 nucleotides) under Hevea brasiliensis (rubber tree). Lineage: Eukaryota; Viridiplantae; Streptophyta; Magnoliopsida; Malpighiales; Euphorbiaceae. The record is from RNAcentral.